This 253-nucleotide ribosomal RNA is filed under the name uncultured Zavarzinella sp. RNAcentral's name for it is "partial 16S ribosomal RNA". It matches the Rfam family "Bacterial small subunit ribosomal RNA", at positions 524 to 776 of the family's 1533-position model. Lineage: Bacteria; Pseudomonadati; Planctomycetota; Planctomycetia; Gemmatales; Gemmataceae. The record is from RNAcentral.
GACGAACCGUGCGAACGUUGUUCGGAAUCACUGGGCUUAAAGGGCGCGUAGGCGGUCUAGCCAGUCCGGGGUGAAAGCCUCCAGCUCAACUGGAGAAGUGCCUUGGAUACUGCUGGACUCGAGUGAGGUAGGGGUGAUGGGAACUUCCGGUGGAGCGGUGAAAUGCGUUGAUAUCGGAAGGAACGCCGGUGGCGAAAGCGCAUCACUGGACCUCUUCUGACGCUGAGGCGCGAAAGCCAGGGGAGCAAACGGG